UGCUCUGAUGAAAUCUCUUAUAGGAAGUGCCGUCAGAUGCGAUAACUGACGAUAACCAUUCCUGGCUGACU
Molecule: non-coding RNA, 71 nt
Organism: Ailuropoda melanoleuca (giant panda)
Lineage: Eukaryota; Metazoa; Chordata; Mammalia; Carnivora; Ursidae
Source: Rfam